GCAAGUCGAAGGAGAAGCUAUCUUCGGAUAGUUGAGACCGGCAGACGGGUGAGUAACACGUGGGAAUAUACCGAUUAGUGGGGGAUAACAGUUGGAAACGACUGCUAAUACCGCAUACGCCCUUCGGGGGAAAGAUUUAUCGCUAUUCGAUUGGCCCGCGUUAGAUUAGCUUGUUGGUAAGGUAACGGCUUACCAAGGCUACGAUCUAUAGCUGGUUUGAGAGGAUGAGC
Molecule: ribosomal RNA, 230 nt
Filed under: uncultured bacterium
Lineage: Bacteria
Description: partial 16S ribosomal RNA
Rfam family: Bacterial small subunit ribosomal RNA
Source: RNAcentral